RNAcentral lists this ribosomal RNA (253 nucleotides) under uncultured bacterium. Its description in RNAcentral is "partial 16S ribosomal RNA". It matches the Rfam family "Bacterial small subunit ribosomal RNA", at positions 524 to 776 of the family's 1533-position model. The record is from RNAcentral.
UACGUAGGGCGCAAGCGUUGUCCGGAAUUAUUGGGCGUAAAGAGCUCGUAGGUGGUUUGUUACGUCUGCUGUGAAAACCUAGGGCUUAACCCUGGGCCUGCAGUGGAUACGGGCAGACUAGAGGUAGGUAGGGGAGAAUGGAAUUCCCGGUGUAGCGGUGAAAUGCGCAGAUAUCGGGGGGAACACCGGUGGCGAAGGCGGUUCUCUGGGCCUUACCUGACACUGAGGAGCGAAAGCGUGGGGAGCGAACAGG